UACGUAGGGUGCGAGCGUUGUCCGGAAUUAUUGGGCGUAAAGGGCUCGUAGGCGGUUUGUCGCGUCGGGAGUGAAAACGCCGUGCUUAACACGGCGCUUGCUUUCGAUACGGGCAGACUAGAGGUAUGCAGGGGAGAACGGAAUUCCUGGUGUAGCGGUGGAAUGCGCAGAUAUCAGGAGGAACACCGGUGGCGAAGGCGGGUCUCUGGGCAGUAACUGACGCUGAGGAGCGAAAGCGUGGGGAGCGAACAGG
RNAcentral lists this ribosomal RNA (253 nucleotides) under uncultured bacterium. RNAcentral describes it as "partial 16S ribosomal RNA". It matches the Rfam family "Bacterial small subunit ribosomal RNA", at positions 524 to 776 of the family's 1533-position model. The record is from RNAcentral.